CAGUCGCCGCGGUAAUACGGAGGGUGCAAGCGUUAAUCGGAAUUACUGGGCGUAAAGCGCACGCAGGCGGUCUGUCAAGUCGGAUGUGAAAUCCCCGGGCUCAACCUGGGAACUGCAUUCGAAACUGGCAGGCUAGAGUCUUGUAGAGGGGGGUAGAAUUCCAGGUGUAGCGGUGAAAUGCGUAGAGAUCUGGAGGAAUACCGGUGGCGAAGGCGGCCCCCUGGACAAAGACUGACGCUCAGGUGCGAAAGCGUGGGGAGCAAACAGGAUUAGAUACCCCUGUAGUCCCUGUCUCUUAUAC
Molecule: ribosomal RNA, 301 nt
Filed under: uncultured bacterium
Lineage: Bacteria
Description: partial 16S ribosomal RNA
Rfam family: Bacterial small subunit ribosomal RNA
Source: RNAcentral